This 424-nucleotide ribosomal RNA is filed under the name uncultured bacterium. Its description in RNAcentral is "bacterial SSU rRNA". It matches the Rfam family "Bacterial small subunit ribosomal RNA", at positions 355 to 796 of the family's 1533-position model. The record is from RNAcentral.
UGGGGAAUAUUGGACAAUGGGGGCAACCCUGAUCCAGCCAUGCCGCGUGAGUGAUGAAGGCCUUCGGGUUGUAAAGCUCUUUUGUCAGGGAAGAUGAUGACGGUACCUGAAGAAUAAGCCCCGGCUAACUUCGUGCCAGCAGCCGCGGUAAUACGAAGGGGGCUAGCGUUGUUCGGAAUUACUGGGCGUAAAGGGCGCGUAGGCGGCUCUGUAAGUCAGGAGUGAAAUCCCCAGGCUCAACCUGGGAAUUGCUUUUGAGACUAUGGAGCUUGAGUACAGGAGAGGUGAGUGGAAUUCCCGGUGUAGAGGUAAAAUUCGUAGAUAUCGGGAGGAACACCAGUGGCGAAGGCGGCUCACUGGCCUGUAACUGACGCUGAGGCGCGAAAGCGUGGGGAGCAAACAGGAUUAGAUACCCCUGUAGUCC